ACCCGCCAGCCCCGCGCUCUACCAGGCAGAGCGCGUGUGGCCGCCGAGCACAUGGACCCACUGGUCAAGCGGGCUCGGCAAGGCCAGGAUGAAGAGAAGCUACGAACUUAGCAUUCCCAGAGCCCCCCGAGUGGAUAUCCGCGUGGAAAGGAUGUUGGCAGCCCCGGUGACCUCGGAGUCACGGCUGGAUCCACCCUCUUGUCUGAUUUUCUUAACUCUACUACGGUAAGAAGAUGCCCUCCAUCAGCAGGCCGUGUCUGCUGGGACCUCUCUGGAGACUUCCUGAACCCUGUGGAUUUACAGUAAGAUGCAGUUUCCUGGGGAGUAAUUCUGGUGGAUACAAAUUCCGGAGUAUUACACCUGGCUUGCCUGGAGAUGUUACAAGUAGCUGGAUGGAUUCUUCAGCCUGGAUGCCCACUGAAAACAAGGACCGAAACUAAGAGGAUUGUAUCUCUACCCUUGACUCAAUGAGAAUGUUUGUUGUCAUCUCUCGGGCUACCUGGAGCUCCCUCUAAAAUGGGCUGGGACACUGCCUGAUUGAGGUGGCCAUUGAGAAUUCAAGUGUACCUCUUGGUCCCUGAUGCAGAAAUGAAGUCCCCAGCAUGCUCAAGAAGAGCUUCCUUGGAGGAUGAGAGGCAUGGGAAUCUAAGUAUACCCUUUAAGCGUUCCAGAAGGAUUUUGAGAUCCUUUCCUAAAUCAAAGGUGGAAUAUUUGGGGAUUUGGAAAAUUGAGAUGUGAAGCGUUGACUUAAGAGAUGCCAAGUAACUCAGCAGAUGUCACACAGACGAUAAAUAGCAAAGAUGGAAGUCUUCAUGCCGGAGGCAAUCCUAUAAGACAGCUGAGUUCUGCAGAGCUGGUAGGAGACAGACUUGCUCAGGUGAUAGAUCCAGCCAUGAUACUGACCCUAAGAGAAUGAGACGCUCUGCAGAAGACAGAAGAUUCCUGAAACUGGGAAAGGUGCCUAGAAAUCCUGAUAAGAGUGAAGAAGGGUACCUGGAGGCACAGCAGCCAUGUUGAACCUAUGAGGUGAUGAAAAACCAUGCAACUAGAAACCAGAAUGGAAGAAAAGAAGAAGCUGGAUCCUUGACUGAAUUGUCGAUGGGGGAUAGUCCAUCAUCCCAGGGCUAAGACCACCUCCAGAUUUCUUGUUUGGUGAAACAAGUCCUGAUUGUUUACAUUCCCUCGUGUUGAGCUGUCUCUUGCUUGUAGCUGAAAGCAUUUCUAAUAGAUAUUCAGAUUAUCAGCCUUAGCUCCAAGCUAGAAUACUCUAUGGGACCUUAGCUUCUCCAUGAAUUCCUUUGCUCAUCUGUGUAAUGCUCAAUAAAUGUAAAUUGAACCCUGAAUGAGGGACAAUGACACUA
RNAcentral lists this long non-coding RNA (1361 nucleotides) under Mus musculus (house mouse). Its description in RNAcentral is "Pvt1 oncogene". The stretch from base 44 to 200 matches the Rfam family "Pvt1 oncogene conserved region 1". The record is from RNAcentral. Lineage: Eukaryota; Metazoa; Chordata; Mammalia; Rodentia; Muridae.